Molecule: long non-coding RNA, 3124 nt
Organism: Numida meleagris (helmeted guineafowl)
Lineage: Eukaryota; Metazoa; Chordata; Aves; Galliformes; Numididae
Exons: 7
Source: RefSeq, a predicted model, not a curated record
GGGCACUGAUGAGCAGAGAUGGGCCUUACUGCUGAGUGCAAAGGGCUCUGCUGUGCCUUGUACUUUGCCCAGGGGGAGGCCUGGCUCUCUUGCUUGCAGUGCCCUCCUGGAGAGCUGGGCUGUCUCUUGGCUGUGCUGGAGCUGCCUGCCUCUCAGAGGGGACCACCAUUUGAAGCCUCCUCAGGUCAGCACAGAGGCUGCUUUCAGGCCUCAGCCCUGAGCAGGGCUGUCAGAGGUGAAAGGUGCAGAGCACGGCAGAGGCUCAGCAGCUCACCUAGUUCUUCUUUUUCCUUGCAGCCCAGCUGCCAGCUCCACAGGCCCUGCUGUCUCGACUGCUGGUGAGUAGCAAUGCCCUGGGGAAGGUGCCCUGGGCAAAGCCAUUGGCUGCCUGUUGCUGGCAGGAGGGGCUCCACACUUCCUUCCUGCUGGGAGAAGUUGCCAAUUUGGCAGCAGGAGCAACUCUUCUCUCCCUCUUGCCCUUGCCUAGGUGAAGUCAGCAGCUCCUCAUGCAGGUGGUGAGCACACAGUUGCUGCCUUGAAGCUGCUGCAGGCCCUCCACAGCACGAUCCAUGGAGCCCUGGGGGCAGCAUGAGAUCCCCUUCCUGCUGCAGUAUCUGGAAGGUAAGGUGCUCGUGGGGAUGGGCAGCCUGGCAGGGACGGAAAGGAGGCAGGAAAACACAGCUUCCCAGCAGGACAGAGGGGAAUUGUGCUCACUACCUUUCCCUUUCCAGGUGCCAAUAUUGAGGCUGGGAGCAACCAUCUCCCAGGGUGGACACCUGCCAGGGGCUGGAUAGUGUCACAGACAUUUUCUCAGGUGGCAGCCCCAUGUUCUUUCUGGGUCAUCUUUCCCAUUGUUCCGGGAGCUGUAAGCAAGAAACAGGACUCAGCCCCAGCCAGUGUUUCCUUUCCCAGCUUGAAUUGGAGGCUCUAACUACUGCCCCUGGGAUCCUUCUGCUUUCUAGGAAAAGAUGCUAUCUCCAUGGACUCUGCAGAGUGGAAGUGCCAUCUGCUUAAGGUACGGCACCCUUGGGGUCUGUCACAAAUGGAGCGGGAGGAGAGGGUGCAGGCAAAGUUUUGAGUGGAAACCUGGGCUCCCUGUGUAGUCCGUCAUCGAGAGGAAAAGGCCCUUCCAAGCACUCUGUGCCUGCCCACUCAGGGGAGUUGCUCUCUGCACAUGUGCCACAGCUGAUUGUUAAUGCCCUCUAAUUGCAUGGCCAAUACCUCUGGAGCAGCUGUGCCUCCCUUGGCACUGCCUCCUUCUUCUGGUCCUGAGGCUUGUGAGGUGUUGAGUGAGAUGCUAGCAGAAGAGGGGGGGAGGGAUGGGGAGAGAGACUGUUGUUCCUUACAGCUCUCCCCCCCAGCAGCCUCCUGGAACACGUCAGUGUGAUAAAGGGUCUGGCCAAGAGCAGGGAAAUGUUCACUUCCUUUUCUGUUUUCCCCUAGUUUCUGAAAGUGUCACUGGAAUGCAUGGAGGACCAGGCCUGGACUGUGGCUCUGAGCCAGCAGCUCAGCGAGCAGCUGGGCACCUGUCUCCAUGGCUCCUGGCUCCAUGGCUGGGACUGCAGGCACUCUUUUGCCCAUGAUGGCUUUUGUCACUGCUUGCCCUCCCCUUGUCGCCAAAAGACUCUUCCCUCCAUGCAGCUCAGAGGCUGGCUACAACCUAGCACCGUGGCUGGCUUCAGAUUGCUCCCUAGGGUGGUGGGGUCCAUCUUGGCCUGUCCUUCUCCUGACGUGUUGGGCCAUUACUGCAUCUUGGGCUCGGCCUCAUUUCUUUCAGCUCUUCUUGUACAAGGCUCUUGGGUCAGUGCUGGCAGCUUGUCAGGACGUCAGCCGCGUCCAAGGGCAGCUUCACGGGUAUCUCCAGGGAACAAACCACAUGGAGCUGUUUGAGGCCCAGGGAAUGAUUUUGGUUGUGUCCUUUGCUGCUGAGCGCCACUUCCACCUGGCCUUGGACGCAGUGACAGUGUUUGCUGCCACGCUGACCAGAGGCAGGUUUUCAGAGCCAUCUGGGGACUGGAAGGUACAGUGGCAGCAGAAGGAGGAAGCCCAGGCCGCUUGCGUUGCUGUCAUGCUCACCUACAGUGGCAUCACACUGCACGCCCCCAGGGAGCAUCUGUUGUCCCAUGUGGAUGCAGACAUCUUGGGCAGGAUCCUGAUGCUUUCUGGAGCCAGCUACCGGGUGGGAGCUCAGCGCAUGCAGGAAGAAGGGCGUCUGGAUGCCCCAGCUCCAGCCUCUGGGCAUGGUGGCAUAAUGAGAUGGGAUCUUUCUAAGGAUACCAAAGGAACAAUUUGCCCUGCACUUGCAGUCCAAACCAUUCUCUAGAUUCCUCCCAGUUCAGGUACCUCUUCCACCCCCCAUCCUUUCAAGCAGUUCAAAAAGUGCUUUGCUUUCUUGUCCUCAGGACUCUCAGCUAAAGCUUGCCCUAGUGCAGAGUAUCACUGAGGUCAGCUGCACCAUCCGGACUGUGGGUGACUGCCCCAGUUUUGGGCUCUUGUUGAAGCUGGAGGCCCUGAGGACACUGCUGGACUGGAUAAAGGAGGAGCCCUGGGACGUGGCAGUAUACCCCGUGCUUUUGUCCUUGGAGCAGCUGAGCAAAGUGAAGCCAUCUCUGAGCAGAGAGGAGAAUUGCCGCCUGCUGUCUGAGUGCUGCCAAAGCGUCUUCUCCCAUCCAUCCAUUGAAGAGAUAAAAGCAAGACAGAGGCCAGAGGCAGUGAGAACAUCAAGGUACCUGCUGUCCUAUCCCUUCCAAUGUCCCAGUUGGGCAUGGCAGCGCACCGUGCAAGAAAACCUCAGUCAUCCUUUCCUGCUUUCAGCUCCUGCACACAUCAUGCUUGGAGGCUCUGGGCCAGCUUAUGAUAACACUUCUUGAGCACUUUUGAGGACAUAGUCUGUACCAUCUGCAGAUGCUUCCCCUCAGCUCAGGGCACAGAUUUCAGGAGCGCGCUUGCAGAAAGCCUGCUGCGUCACACAGACCGGCAUGCAUGGGCUGCUGGGAUGUGGAUGACAGCAUUUCUGGAAAACGGUGGAAAGCAGCUAACUUCUCUGGAGGUGCCACAAGUCCUGGGCAUUCUUUAUACCAGCCUGCAGGCCGUGUCACAGAGCAUCCACAGGGUCCAAGGGCUG